GACGAACGCUGGCGGCGUGCUUAACACAUGCAAGUCGAACGGAAAGGCCCUGCUUUUGUGGGGUGCUCGAGUGGCGAACGGGUGAGUAACACGUGAGUAACCUGCCCUUGACUUUGGGAUAACUUCAGGAAACUGGGGCUAAUACCGGAUAGGAGCUCCUGCUGCAUGUUGGGGGUUGGAAAGUUUCGGCGGUUGGGGAUGGACUCGCGGCUUAUCAGCUUGUUGGUGGGGUAGUGGCUUACCAAGGCUUUGACGGGUAGCCGGCCUGAGAGGGUGACCGGCCACAUUGGGACUGAGAUACGGCCCAGACUCCUACGGGAGGCAGCAGUGGGGAAUAUUGCACAAUGGGCGGAAGCCUGAUGCAGCAACGCCGCGUGCGGGAUGACGGCCUUCGGGUUGUAAACCGCUUUCGCCUGUGACGAAGCGUGAGUGACGGUAAUGGGUAAAGAAGCACCGGCUAACUACGU
This 467-nucleotide ribosomal RNA is filed under the name uncultured bacterium. Its description in RNAcentral is "partial 16S ribosomal RNA". It matches the Rfam family "Bacterial small subunit ribosomal RNA", at positions 28 to 506 of the family's 1533-position model. The record is from RNAcentral.